This 524-nucleotide ribosomal RNA is filed under the name uncultured Neorickettsia sp. Its description in RNAcentral is "bacterial SSU rRNA". It matches the Rfam family "Bacterial small subunit ribosomal RNA", at positions 37 to 593 of the family's 1533-position model. The record is from RNAcentral. Lineage: Bacteria; Pseudomonadati; Pseudomonadota; Alphaproteobacteria; Rickettsiales; Anaplasmataceae.
UAGCGGUUAGGCUUAACACAUGCAAGUCGAACGGAAUCAGGGCUGCUUGCAGCCUUGGUCCCGUGGCAGACGGGUGCGUAACGCGUGGGAACUUGCCUGGUAGUAGGGAAUAACCAGUGGAAACAUUGGGCAACACCCUAUACGCCCUGAGGGGGAAAAUUUAUUGCUAUCAGAUAGGCCCGCGUUAGAUUAGCUAGUUGGUGGGGUAAUGGCCUACCAAGGCGACGAUCUAUAGCUGGUCUGAGAGGAUGAUCAGCCACACUGGAACUGAGACACGGUCCAGACUCCUACGGGAGGCAGCAGUGAGGAAUAUUGGACAAUGGGCGAAAGCCUGAUCCAGCCAUACCGCAUGAGUGAUGAAGGCCCUUGGGUUGUAAAGCUCUUUUAGUGGGGAAGAUAAUGACGGUACCCACAGAAGAAGUCCCGGCUAACUCCGUGCCAUUUUUUUUUGUAAUACGGAGGGGGCUAGCGUUGUUCGGAAUUGCUGGGCGUAAAGGGUGCGUAGGCGGUCCCGUAAGUUAGGU